GCGCCCGUAGCUCAACUGGAUAGAGCGUCUGACUUCGGAUCAGAAGGNUAGGAGUUCGAAUCUUCUCGGGCGCNCCA
RNAcentral lists this transfer RNA (77 nucleotides) under Rickettsiales bacterium. RNAcentral describes it as "tRNA-Arg". It matches the Rfam family "tRNA". From Rfam's summary of the family: Transfer RNA (tRNA) molecules are approximately 80 nucleotides in length. Their secondary structure includes four short double-helical elements and three loops (D, anti-codon, and T loops). The record is from RNAcentral. Lineage: Bacteria; Pseudomonadati; Pseudomonadota; Alphaproteobacteria; Rickettsiales.